RNAcentral lists this unclassified non-coding RNA (285 nucleotides) under Limonomyces sp. RNAcentral's name for it is "partial contains small subunit ribosomal RNA, internal transcribed spacer 1, and 5.8S ribosomal RNA". The stretch from base 1 to 46 matches the Rfam family "Eukaryotic small subunit ribosomal RNA", at positions 1786 to 1831 of the family's 1831-position model. The record is from RNAcentral. RNAcentral also lists the same sequence under 1 other name. Lineage: Eukaryota; Fungi; Basidiomycota; Agaricomycetes; Corticiales; Corticiaceae.
AAGUCGUAACAAGGUUUCCGUAGGUGAACCUGCGGAAGGAUCAUUAACGAGUCUGACUUGGGUUGUCGCUGGUCCUCCGGGACAUGUGCACGCUCUAGCUCAUCCACUCACCCCUGUGCACCCCUGUAGUUGUUUAUCUCAAAGGAUGCUUGCGAAGGCUUCACGGCUGGACAUUCUCCCGCGAGUAGACUCUACGUUUUUUAUACACGCAUAAAAGUCUAGAAUGUAAACCUUUGCUAUAAAACGCAUUAAAUACAACUUUCAACAACGGAUCUCUUGGCUCUC